Molecule: transfer RNA, 72 nt
Filed under: Danio rerio (zebrafish)
Lineage: Eukaryota; Metazoa; Chordata; Actinopteri; Cypriniformes; Danionidae
Rfam family: tRNA
About the family: Transfer RNA (tRNA) molecules are approximately 80 nucleotides in length.
Source: Rfam by way of RNAcentral
GGUUCCAUGGUGUAAUGGUUAGCACUCUGAACUCUGAAUUCAACGAUCUGAGUUCAAAUCUCGGCGGGACCU